CAGGCCUAACACAUGCAAGUCGAACGCGAACUUUGGCUUCGGCCGGAGGGAGCGUGGCGGACGGGUGAGUAACACGUGGGUAAUCUGCCUUCGGGUGGGGAAUAACGGCCCGAAAGGGUCGCUAAUACCGCAUAACGCAGCGGCACCGCAUGGUGACAGUUGUUAAAGAGGGGGAUCCGCAAGGACCUCUCGCCUGAAGAGGAGCCCGCGCCCGAUUAGCUGGUUGGUGGGGUAACGGCCUACCAAGGCAUCGAUCGGUAGCCGGCCUGAGAGGGCGGUCGGCCACACUGGCACUGAGACACGGGCCAGACUCCUACGGGAGGCAGCAGUGGGGAAUUUUGGGCAAUGGGCGAAAGCCUGACCCAGCAACGCCGCGUGAAGGACGAAAUCCCUCUGGGAUGUAAACUUCGAAAGUUAGGGAAGAAAUGCUUCGGGGGAAUAUCCCGAGGAGAUGACGGUACCUAACGUAAGCCCCGGCUAACUACGUGCCAGCAGCCGCGGUAAU
Molecule: ribosomal RNA, 505 nt
Filed under: uncultured bacterium
Lineage: Bacteria
Description: bacterial SSU rRNA
Rfam family: Bacterial small subunit ribosomal RNA
Source: RNAcentral